This is a long non-coding RNA of Calypte anna (Anna's hummingbird), 386 nucleotides long. RefSeq lists it as uncharacterized. The transcript has 3 exons. The record is from RefSeq and is a predicted model, not a curated record. NCBI's taxonomy places the organism in Eukaryota, Metazoa, Chordata, Aves, Apodiformes, Trochilidae.
GCAGAUGAACUGGCAAUGAACACCCCCUGAGGGAGCUUCCCGGGGCUGGGAAUUUGGGGAUUUCCUUCCCAGCCUUGCCCUGCUCGGGCUCCCGGCUCUGGUGCCUUCAAAAGCAGCAGCUUGGAGCAUUUCGGAGGGACUUUGUGCAGGCUGAGCUGGGCUCUGCUGCUGCUGCUGCUGCUUUUUAGGAAAGAGGCCUGCCUUUUUCCUGGCAAUGAACACCCCCUGAGGAAGCUUCCCGGGGCUGGGAAUUUCGGGAUUUCCUUCCCAGAAGCUUGGAGCAUUUCGUAGGGACUUUGUGCAGGCCGAGCUCGGCUCUGCUGCUGCUGCUGCUGCUGCUUUUUAGGAAAGAGGCCUGCCUUUUUCCUGGCAAUUAACACCCCCUC